Syngnathoides biaculeatus (alligator pipefish) is the source of this 451-nucleotide long non-coding RNA. RefSeq lists it as uncharacterized. NCBI's taxonomy places the organism in Eukaryota, Metazoa, Chordata, Actinopteri, Syngnathiformes, Syngnathidae. The record is from RefSeq and is a predicted model, not a curated record. The transcript has 3 exons.
GUUGCGGUGGAGUUUACCUUCCUAUAACGGGCUCUGGUUUCUUUGAAACGUCGACUCAGGCUGUUAACUCGAUCGAUGACCAGCUGCCAGGUGAGGUAGUUCUGCAUUGUUCUGAACAUAUGUCCAAAUAUUUGUACUAUCAUUUCAUUUUCUCUCUUUUUUUCCCAUCACGCUUAUACUUCUGUAUCUUGUGCUGACCGAACACUGUGUCUGGAGAGGACUUCGUUCAUCUUGUCCAGCUCGUUCAGCGUCAUCUUGUUGUAAAGUACGGUGACGUCCUGCCGCUCCUCGGCUGGCAAUGUGGCCUGGAAGGAAGAAAAUCAUCGGCGUCAUUGUGCAAAUGGUGCAAGGUCCAACACUUGCAUCAUCUCCUCCCACACACCCUCAUCAUCCUGUGUCAAGUUCCUGUCUUCCCGGGUCAUCUUGGCGAUGGAGACCAUGAAGUGGAGGU